RNAcentral lists this ribosomal RNA (492 nucleotides) under uncultured bacterium. RNAcentral's name for it is "partial 16S ribosomal RNA". It matches the Rfam family "Bacterial small subunit ribosomal RNA", at positions 29 to 507 of the family's 1533-position model. The record is from RNAcentral.
AGUGAACGCUGGCGGUAGGCCUAACACAUGCAAGUCGAACGGCAGCACAGUAAGAGCUUGCUCUUACGGGUGGCGAGUGGCGGACGGGUGAGGAAUACAUCGGAAUCUACUUUUUCGUGGGGGAUAACGUAGGGAAACUUACGCUAAUACCGCAUACGGCCUACGGGUGAAAGCAGGGGAUCUUCGGACCUUGCGCGAUUGAAUGAGCCGAUGUCGGAUUAGCUAGUUGGCGGGGUAAAGGCCCACCAAGGCGACGAUCCGUAGCUGGUCUGAGAGGAUGAUCAGCCACAGUGGAACUGAGAGACGGUCCAGACUCCUACGGGAGGCAGCAGUGGGGAAUAUUGGGCAAUGGGCGCAAGCCUGAUCCAGCCAUACCGCGUGGGUAAAGAAGGCCUUCGGGUUGUAAAGCCCUUUUGUUGGGAAAGAAAAGCAGCAGGUUAAUACCCCGCUGUUCUGACGGUACCCAAAGAAUAAGCACCGGCUAACUUCGUG